AGAGUUUGAUCCUGGCUCAGGAUGAACGCUAGCGGCAGGCUUAACACAUGCAAGUCGAGGGGUAGAGGAAGCUUGCUUCCUUGAGACCGGCGCACGGGUGCGUAACGCGUAUGCAAUCUACCUUGUACAGGGGGAUAGCCCAGAGAAAUUUGGAUUAAUACCCCAUAGUAUUAUUGAAUGGCAUCAUUUGAUUAUUAAAGUUCCAACGGUACAAGAUGAGCAUGCGUCCCAUUAGCUAGUUGGUGUGGUAACGGCACACCAAGGCGACGAUGGGUAGGG
RNAcentral lists this ribosomal RNA (279 nucleotides) under uncultured Flavobacterium sp. RNAcentral's name for it is "partial 16S ribosomal RNA". It matches the Rfam family "Bacterial small subunit ribosomal RNA", at positions 8 to 288 of the family's 1533-position model. Lineage: Bacteria; Pseudomonadati; Bacteroidota; Flavobacteriia; Flavobacteriales; Flavobacteriaceae. The record is from RNAcentral.